GCGGGUUGUUCAGGGUGAACGGAACGCGGCAUAUGGCGGAAAUCCUUGCUUUCCCAGCGCCGUCCAAGCCUUCCCAAGCUUACGACGAGGGUUCGAUUCCCUUCACCCGCUCCA
This 114-nucleotide transfer RNA is filed under the name Novosphingobium aromaticivorans DSM 12444. RNAcentral's name for it is "tRNA-Gly (TCC) (tRNA-Gly-TCC-2-1)". Lineage: Bacteria; Pseudomonadati; Pseudomonadota; Alphaproteobacteria; Sphingomonadales; Sphingomonadaceae. The record is from RNAcentral.